CCUACGGGUGGCAGCAGUAGGGAAUCUUCCACAAUGGGCGCAAGCCUGAUGGAGCAACACCGCGUGAGUGAAGAAGGGUUUCGGCUCGUAAAGCUCUGUUGUUGGAGAAGAACGUGCGUGAGAGUAACUGUUCACGCAGUGACGGUAUCCAACCAGAAAGUCACGGCUAACUACGUGCCAGCAGCCGCGGUAAUCCGUAGGUGGCAAGCGUUAGCCGGAUUUAUGGGGCGUAAAGCGAGCGCAGGCGGUCGCUUAGGUCUGAGGUGAAAGCCUUCGGCUUAACCGAAGAAGUGCAUCGGAAACCGGGCGACUUGAGUGCGGAAGAGCACAGUGGAACUCCAUGUGUAGCGGUGGUAUGCGUAGAUAUAUGGCAGAACACCAGUGGCGAAGGCGGCUGUCUGGUCUGCACCUGCCGCUGAGGCUCGAUAGCCUGGGUAGCGAACAGGAUUAGAUACCCGGGUAGUC
Molecule: ribosomal RNA, 465 nt
Filed under: uncultured bacterium
Lineage: Bacteria
Description: partial 16S ribosomal RNA
Rfam family: Bacterial small subunit ribosomal RNA
Source: RNAcentral